GGGCUUGUGGCGCAACUGGUUGACGCGCUGGAUUUAGGUUCCAGUUUCUUCGGAUAUGUGGGUUCGAAUCCCAUCAAGCCCAC
This 83-nucleotide transfer RNA is filed under the name Microbacterium phage Pumpernickel. RNAcentral's name for it is "tRNA-Leu". It matches the Rfam family "tRNA". From Rfam's summary of the family: Transfer RNA (tRNA) molecules are approximately 80 nucleotides in length. Their secondary structure includes four short double-helical elements and three loops (D, anti-codon, and T loops). Lineage: Duplodnaviria; Heunggongvirae; Uroviricota; Caudoviricetes. The record is from RNAcentral.